Molecule: long non-coding RNA, 312 nt
Filed under: Lathyrus oleraceus (garden pea)
Lineage: Eukaryota; Viridiplantae; Streptophyta; Magnoliopsida; Fabales; Fabaceae
Description: Pisum sativum (pea) long non-coding RNA (PSAT_LNC013946)
Source: RNAcentral
UAUUCUGUCAAUGUUUGAAAAUUAAAAUAGAUAUGUUAUUUUUAAAGUUGUUAAUAAAAAUACAUUAUACAACCUAUAAAAGUAUAUAGAUUAAAUAAUUAUAAAUUGUAUCUCUCAAUUUACUAAACAAAUAAAAAUAAACAUAAACAUUAACUCUCUCACACUCUCUCUCUUCUCCCCCCUCUCUAUCCCCUUUUCCCUCUCCCUCUCUCUCCCUCCCUACCUCUUCCUAUCCCUCUCUCCCUCCCUCCUUCUCUCUCAUAUUUGAGUUGUGUAGUUGAGAGUAACCUAAAUUUAAAAAAAUAAUAAAUA